This 24-nucleotide non-coding RNA is filed under the name Arabidopsis thaliana (thale cress). Lineage: Eukaryota; Viridiplantae; Streptophyta; Magnoliopsida; Brassicales; Brassicaceae. The record is from RNAcentral.
AUCAAGAGGGAGGGCAAUAAGAUA